This 909-nucleotide ribosomal RNA is filed under the name Triticum aestivum (bread wheat). RNAcentral's name for it is "partial small subunit ribosomal RNA". Lineage: Eukaryota; Viridiplantae; Streptophyta; Magnoliopsida; Poales; Poaceae. The record is from RNAcentral.
AUGGAGCUCUUCAAGGACGCGCGGUCCGUGCGGCUGAGGAGCCACCUGGGCACGUACCUCUGCGCGCUCGACGGCGUGGCCGUCUCCCACGGCCACCGCCGCAACUCCCGCGGCACGGUCUGGGCCGUGGAGCUCGCCGGCGACGACUACGUCCGCCUCCAGGGCCACCGGGGCCUCUACCUCGGCGCCACCGAGCUCCCCGCCGACGUCCUCGGCCGCGGCCGCGGCACCCGGGCCUGCUGCGGGGUCGUCCAGGGCUCGCCGUCCUGCCCCAACGACAACGCCUUCCUCUGGUCGCCGCUGCGCGAGGGCGAGCACCUCGCGCUGUCCGGGCCCUACGGCCGCCUCCUCCGCGCCAGGUUCGGGCGGACGCCGCAGGACAACUCCGUCACCGUCGACCUGGACGCCGACCCGGAGGAGAGCUCCUGGGUCGUCGAGGUCGUCCCGGCCGCGGAGGCGGCGCUGCUGCUGCUGCCGUCGCCGCCGCGGCCCUGCCGCGCCCACUCGUGCGACGCCCGCUUGGAGGCGGCCACAUCGGAGUCGGACACGGCGUCCAGCGUCCUCGCCAGGGAGGAGCCCCUGUCGACGCCGGCGCCGCGGCUGAUCUUCUACAACACCGCCAGGGACGACGGCGGCGUGGACGAGUUCGACGAGGGGACGUGGAAGUACUUCUCGUUCAAGGAGCAGAGCCUGGCGGCGCUGCACCGCAGGCUGGAGGAGGAGACCCGGCGCCAGGACUUCGUCGUCUGCCGCAGGAGCGGCCCGGGGCUGUUCCCCGUCGUCCUGGACCUCCCUCCCGGCAACAGCCAGAUGGAGUUCGUCCUCGUCCCGGCGUCCCCUCCUGCAGGUAAACAAUGGGGUCUCUCUGCUUCUUUUGUUCUCUGUUUCCUGCUCUGGUUCAGCUUCUGA